GGUAGGGUGGCCGAGUGGCAAGGCAGCCGACUUAUAACCGGCAGUCCGGGCAGCCCGUCAAAGCAUCAACCCGGCGCGGGUUCGAUCCCCGCCCCUGCCG
RNAcentral lists this transfer RNA (100 nucleotides) under Planctomycetota bacterium. RNAcentral's name for it is "Planctomycetes bacterium (groundwater metagenome) tRNA-Ile". It matches the Rfam family "tRNA". Rfam says of the family: Transfer RNA (tRNA) molecules are approximately 80 nucleotides in length. RNAcentral also lists the same sequence under 1 other name. The record is from RNAcentral. Lineage: Bacteria; Pseudomonadati; Planctomycetota.